ACGGGCCGGUUCUAAAAGUUGGAGAAAACGGGACCCCGACCCAGACCAUUCAUUGCUCUACCCUGUAUCACAGUAUCACCCUCUCUCUUAUUCUCAGACCCAAUUCACAACUAUCCCGUCACCCUCUCUCUCUAUCCCGACUUCUCCGAUACCACUCCGAGUCUCCUCCCUCGAUCUCUCCUCCCUGUGGGUUUCUGAUUUUGCUUUCGGAUCCGUCGAUUCUCAUCUCUCUCUCUCUCUCUUUCUCUCUCCCCCCCCCCAAACCUUCUUCUUCUUCAAGUUCUUAAUCCCAGUUAGGUUUUCCACAAAUCAUGCAUCGGCAACCCAAUCGACGAUGGCUGGCGCUACGAGGACUGGAGCAACAAUCACCAAAAGCUUGCCGAUUACGGCAUCGGGUUCAACAUGGACGUCAUGGGAGAUUGUUAAUGAUCUGGUUAGUCAUCAAAUUCAAGUGCAGCGCAAUAUCAAGAUUGACCAGCUGAAAUAAGGAGAUGGUAUUAGCAAUAUCUUUAGCUACAUCCUGCAUCUGCAAGAGCAUUGAGUGUGAUUUAAGCAAGAGACGGAGGCAUGGCCUUGGCAAAGAGAGGCGGAGAUGUCGAGGAAGGUUGCCGUUUCAGAAAAAAAAAAAAAAAAGUUCCCGUGUACCCGAACCAAAUCGGCUUGUUUCGAACGAGCCGAUUUAGGUCCGGUUUCUAUUUUAAGAUCUGUUAUAUCCGACCCGGCCCGACCGUUUCUUUUAAUCCGGGUCCAGUCCGAUUCCUUCAAAAUUAGGCAUGGCCCGUGCCUAGCCCUAGUUCGAAUUAUUGAAAUUUGACGUGGAGUGCUCCCUACAACUAGUCCCCAUUUUUACCCAAAAAUGACAAUCAUUUUGGGUAAAAGGCCUAUUUAGGUAUAUAUUAGUGUCACUUCAUUGCGAGAGUUGUCUUAUGCUUACGCAUAUGUAACUGUUUAGACCCAAAAUUACUUUAUCGGCCCAUGCAAUCAAGGUCGUUGGGUGGGCAUAGCUCCCAACCGUCGGAUGAAAAGUGAAGAUAAUUUUGCUAUUAUUGAAAGAUAUAUUGUGGUUUUAAUCAUGGCACUAUCUUUUAAUAUAUUUUAGCCCUUCUCUGCAUAGGAUAAUAUUAAAUAAGAAUGGUUAUAUAAUAACCAGUAGAAGAAUUGCAAUUCAUUUGCAAUUAUUUAAGUCAGCACAUGCAUAUACGUGGAAGGUUGGGAGACUAUUUCCCAUGUAAUUAUGUACCACAAGUUUGUGAUGAUUAUCUCCAGAAAGCAACCAACCAUAGCGGUGUAUGUGGAUUGGUGGUUA
Molecule: long non-coding RNA, 1306 nt
Organism: Malus domestica (apple)
Lineage: Eukaryota; Viridiplantae; Streptophyta; Magnoliopsida; Rosales; Rosaceae
Source: RefSeq, a predicted model, not a curated record